This 254-nucleotide ribosomal RNA is filed under the name uncultured bacterium. RNAcentral's name for it is "partial 16S ribosomal RNA". It matches the Rfam family "Bacterial small subunit ribosomal RNA", at positions 524 to 776 of the family's 1533-position model. The record is from RNAcentral.
GACGAACCGUGCGAACGUUAUUCGGAAUCACUGGGCUUAAAGCGCGUGUAGGCGGGCGGGUACGUCGGCGGCUGAAAGCCCCCGGCUCAACCGGGGAAGGGGUGCCGAAACGGCCGGCCUGGAGGGGCGUAGGGGGACCUGGAACUUCCGGUGGAGCGGUGAAAUGCGUUGAGAUCGGAAGGAACGCCCGUGGCGAAAGCGAGGUCCUGGACGCCAACUGACGCUGAGACGCGAAAGCCAGGGGAGCGAACGGG